Molecule: ribosomal RNA, 763 nt
Filed under: uncultured Streptococcus sp.
Lineage: Bacteria; Bacillati; Bacillota; Bacilli; Lactobacillales; Streptococcaceae
Description: bacterial SSU rRNA
Rfam family: Bacterial small subunit ribosomal RNA
Source: RNAcentral
GACGAACGCUGGCGGCGUGCCUAAUACAUGCAAGUAGAACGCUGAAGGAGGAGCUUGCUUCUCUGGAUGAGUUGCGAACGGGUGAGUAACGCGUAGGUAACCUGCCUGGUAGCGGGGGAUAACUAUUGGAAACGAUAGCUAAUACCGCAUAAGAGUAGAUGUUGCAUGACAUUUGCUUAAAAGGUGCAAUUGCAUCACUACCAGAUGGACCUGCGUUGUAUUAGCUAGUUGGUGAGGUAACGGCUCACCAAGGCAACGAUACAUAGCCGACCUGAGAGGGUGAUCGGCCACACUGGGACUGAGACACGGCCCAGACUCCUACGGGAGGCAGCAGUAGGGAAUCUUCGGCAAUGGACGGAAGUCUGACCGAGCAACGCCGCGUGAGUGAAGAAGGUUUUCGGAUCGUAAAGCUCUGUUGUAAGAGAAGAAUGAGUGUGAGAGUGGAAAGUUCACACUGUGACGGUAUCUUACCAGAAAGGGACGGCUAACUACGUGCCAGCAGCCGCGGUAAUACGUAGGUCCCGAGCGUUGUCCGGAUUUAUUGGGCGUAAAGCGAGCGCAGGCGGUUAGAUAAGUCUGAAGUUAAAGGCUGUGGCUUAACCAUAGUACGCUUUGGAAACUGUUUAACUUGAGUGCAAGAGGGGAGAGUGGAAUUCCAUGUGUAGCGGUGAAAUGCGUAGAUAUAUGGAGGAACACCGGUGGCGAAAGCGGCUCUCUGGCUUGUAACUGACGCUGAGGCUCGAAAGCGUGAGGAGCAAACAGG